Molecule: ribosomal RNA, 703 nt
Filed under: Phlebopus mexicanus
Lineage: Eukaryota; Fungi; Basidiomycota; Agaricomycetes; Boletales; Boletinellaceae
Description: eukaryotic LSU rRNA
Source: RNAcentral
GAAGUAAAAGUCGUAACAAGGUUUCCGUAGGUGAACCUGCGGAAGGAUCAUUAUCGAAACAUACAAGUCCGAAGUGGGGAGAGGUAAAGGGGGAGGACUGUCGCUGGCAUGUCGACAUGCAUGUGCACGUAGUACCCCUUUCCUUUCCUUUCGGCAAAACACCGUCACACCUGUGCACCUGUCGUAGGUCUGCCCCCCMUACUAGGGGAAGGACCUAUGUCUCUCCAUCACACGCAUGUCUAUAGAAUGUCUAGUUGAUAAUGGAAACGAAUCGUAAUACAACUUUCAGCAACGGAUCUCUUGGCUCUCGCAUCGAUGAAGAACGCAGCGAAUUGCGAUAAGUAAUGUGAAUUGCAGAUUUUCAGUGAAUCAUCGAAUCUUUGAACGCACCUUGCGCUCCUUGGUAUUCCGAGGAGCAUGCCUGUUUGAGUGUCAUUCAUAUCCUCAACCAUGCCUUGGAUUGACUUCGAGGCGUGGCUUGGACUUGGGAGUUGCCGGCGACUCGACUUUGGGACGUCGGCUCUCCUUAAAAGCAUUAGCAAGGGGGGGAUGGUGGUGGCAAGACCGACCUUCGACGUGAUAAUGAUCGUCGUGCUCGGGAUGCACGARUUGACCGUCCUUUGCUUCCAAAUCGCCCGGCGUCGGCCGUCUUUGGAACUUGACCUCAAAUCAGGUAGGACUACCCGCUGAACUUAAGCAUAUC